CCUANGGGGGGCAGCAGUGAGGAAUUUUGCGCAAUGGGCGAAAGCCUGACGCAGCGACGCCGCGUGGAGGAAGACGGCCUUCGGGUUGUAAACUCCUGUCAGAAGUGAAGAAUGCCCGCAAGGGCUUGACGGUAACUUCAGAGGAAGCCCCGGCUAACUACGUGCCAGCAGCCGCGGUAAUACGUAGGGGGCAAGCGUUGCUCGGAAUUACUGGGCGUAAAGGGAGUGCAGGCGGCCGGUUAAGUCAAAGAUGAAAUCCCGAAGCUUAACUUCGGAAUGGUCUUUGAUACUGAUCGGCUUGAGGCUGGUUGAGGCGAGCAGAAUUCCCGGUGGAGCGGUGAAAUGCGUAGAUAUCGGGAGGAAUACCAGAGGCGAAGGCGGCUCGCUAAGCUAGUCCUGACGCUGAGACUCGAAAGCUAGGGGAGCAAACGGGAUUAGAUACCCUGNUANUC
This 452-nucleotide ribosomal RNA is filed under the name uncultured bacterium. RNAcentral's name for it is "bacterial SSU rRNA". It matches the Rfam family "Bacterial small subunit ribosomal RNA", at positions 338 to 795 of the family's 1533-position model. The record is from RNAcentral.